Molecule: ribosomal RNA, 521 nt
Filed under: Afruca tangeri
Lineage: Eukaryota; Metazoa; Arthropoda; Malacostraca; Decapoda; Ocypodidae
Description: partial 16S rRNA
Rfam family: Bacterial large subunit ribosomal RNA
Source: RNAcentral
GUCUAUUUGAAGAUAUAAAAAGUCUAAUCUGCCCACUGACAGAAGUUUAAGGGCCGCGGUAAUCUGACCGUGCAAAGGUAGCAUAAUCGUUAGUUUUUUAAUUGGAAUCUUGUAUGAAUGAUUGGACAAAAGAAAAUCUGUCUUUAUAUUUUUUCUUGAAAUUAACUUUCAGGUGAAAAGGCUUGAAUAAGUUAAAAAGACGAUAAGACCCUAUAAAGCUUGAUAAAUCUAUAGUUAGUUUAGCUAAAUUAAUAAAUAAAAGCUAGAUGAUUAAUUUUAUUUUAUUGGGGCGAUGAUGGUAUAAUGAAUAUUAACUGCUAAAAACUUAGACAAAUAUAGAUGAUUGAGACCUUAGAUGAUCCUAAAAUUAAGAUUAAAAGUUUAAGUUACUUUAGGGAUAACAGCGUUAUUUUUCUUGAGAGUUCUUAUCGAAAGAAGAGUUUGCGACCUCGAUGUUGAAUUAAAGUUUCUAUACAAUUGUAGAAGUUGUAGUAGUAAGUCUGUUCGACUUUUAAAACUUU